GUAGGGGGCAAGCGUUGUCCGGAUUCAUUGGGGCGUAAAGCGCGUGUAGGCGGUUCAAUAGGUCCGAUGUGAAAACUCGAGGGCUCAACUUCGAGAGGCCAUCGGAAACCAUUGGACUAGAGUCCGGAAGAGGAGAGUGGAAUUCCUGGUGUAGCGGUGAAAUGCGCAGAUAUCAGGAAGAACACCGAUGGCGAAGGCAGCUCUCUGGGACGGUACUGACGCUGAGACGCGAAAGCGUGGGGAGCGAACAGGAUUAGAUACCCUGGUAGUCCACGCCGUAAACGAUGGGCACUAGGUGUGGGUGGUGUCGACUCCAUCCGUGCCGCAGCUAACGCAUUAAGUGCCCCGCCUGGGGAGUACGGCCGCAAGGCU
This 372-nucleotide ribosomal RNA is filed under the name uncultured organism. RNAcentral describes it as "partial 16S ribosomal RNA". It matches the Rfam family "Bacterial small subunit ribosomal RNA", at positions 527 to 895 of the family's 1533-position model. The record is from RNAcentral.